AUGUCUUCGUCCGGCUAUGUGGAUGUUCCUCGGUGCUCGGUGAUCUUUGAUGGCACCAAUUAUGCUGAGUUUGUGGGUUUCAUGCGUAUCCACAUGCGCGGACUUCUGUUUUGGGGUGUUCUCUCUGGCGAGGUCUCCUGUCCGCCAUGCCCUGUUGCUCCUGUGGCUCCUGUUCCGCCGGUACCGCCGGUGCUUACUGCUGAUGCUUCUCAGGCUGAUCGGGAUGCAGCCAAGGCUCUUGAUGCUGCUGCAGUUGCUGCCUAUGAUCAGCAGGUAUCCGCCUAUUCUGAUGCUCUUUCUGUCUACCGGGAUGAUCUGUCUGCUUACACUCAGUGGUGCAAUGAUGAUGCUCGUGCUGUUGCUGUCCUCACUGCGAGUGUUCUCCCUCAGUUUGCUUCGGAGUUCAUGGGUCUCGGCACUGUUGCAGCGAUGUGGGCCUAUCUCUGUCAACGCUAUCAACCCUCUGGCAAUGCUCUAUACCUCUCUGUAGUGCGUCAGGAGCAUGCUCUUCAGCAGGAUGGCUCGUUUGUUGAUGAGUUCUACUCUCAGUGCUCUGCCAUCUGGCGUCAGCUUGACUCCCUGCGGACAGUUGUUUGUGGCACUUGCCGUUGUUGCCAGACUACGAGGUCUGACUUGGAGUUUCAGAGAGUUCAUGAGUUCUUAUCUCGCCUCCGGUCUGAGUUUGAGCCUCGCCGUGCUCACUUGCUCGCUCGUGGUCGUGUUCCUAUUUCGGAGGUGCUUGCAGAGCUUCGCGCUGAGGAGACACGCCUCUGGUCUGCUGGUCUGCUUGUGGUUCCUUCCGUUCUUGCUGCCCAUGCUCCUGUGCUCUCUGCUCCACCACUUCUGCCCACACCUCCAGGGGGGCGGGUCACCCUUCCUCAGGAGAGGGUCGGUCGCGCUCGCACACCUUCUGUGGCUACUGUAACCGGCCAGGUCACCCAGAGUCAGGUUGUCACAAGAAGCGAAGAGACAUGA
This 975-nucleotide ribosomal RNA is filed under the name Triticum aestivum (bread wheat). Its description in RNAcentral is "partial small subunit ribosomal RNA". Lineage: Eukaryota; Viridiplantae; Streptophyta; Magnoliopsida; Poales; Poaceae. The record is from RNAcentral.